GAAAAUCUUGCAUGUACAAAAGAAAGUUGCCUAAUGACAAAAGCAAUAAAAUAUAUAUCUUGCGAGGAGAUUACAAAAACAAGUGCGAGAAAGUUUAGAACGUAUGUUUGUCGUAUUGUUAACACGGUUUUAUGCCAGUAGGACUGCGGCUCAACGUUUAACGAUUGUGUAUAUUGCUUAUUGUUUCUGAAGGAAUUUAAGAAUUUGAUGGAGGUUAAAUCGGUUCAGGUGAACAGUGAUGAUGAUGAUUCGAUGUCGAGCAAGAGCUAACCCUAAUUUCAACCCCAAUUUUACUUUUGUAUGUAAGGCUUUUAUAUACAUAUUUAAAGCUUAUGAAGUUAAUUCAGAUAAUAUCAGCCCCUAAACCCUUCUUCUUCUUCUUCUUCAGUAUUUGCUUGUAUCACGUAUUCGUUUAAUCGGGCCUUAUUGAAUCUUUUAUAAAUGAUCAAUCACUUUCCAUACCAGUCUCAUGUUUUUCACGUGCCUUCCGCCUUCUUUUUGCCAGUAAGUUUGGUGGUGUGGCUUCCUCAUCGGACAGAGAGGCUACAGAUGGGGUGUGUUAAUAAGGAAAUCGUUUGCAGCUACGCACGACCGCUAACAAAAAAUGGAAGAAAGCGGGAGAUCUCGGGUUCGGUCGACGGUUGCAUGAUGUAGAUGAAGUUUUACGCAAUUUGCGGUCCAGGUUUAUUUUUUUUGUUUAAAUGCAGUUAAAUAAUUCAUGUGCUUUUGAGCAAUUUUAUAAUAUAAUUAGUGAUCUAUGUAUGGUUGGAGAUAAACUUCAAACACUGGUAACUAACCAUGAGUUUUUUUGAUCAUAAACAUUGUAAAUGUGUAAUUUAUUAUGUCUCCAUUUCAUGAUAACAGUGUACAUUUGAUUACUUAGGAGUUGAAGGACCAUGUCUUAACUUGAGUUUAGAUCGAAUUGUUCUUAAAACCCGAGGUGCAGGGCGUUGCUCUAUAUAC
Long non-coding RNA from Helianthus annuus (common sunflower), 963 nucleotides. RefSeq lists it as uncharacterized. Lineage: Eukaryota; Viridiplantae; Streptophyta; Magnoliopsida; Asterales; Asteraceae. The transcript is spliced from 4 exons. The record is from RefSeq and is a predicted model, not a curated record.